Molecule: ribosomal RNA, 315 nt
Filed under: uncultured eukaryote
Lineage: Eukaryota
Description: partial 18S ribosomal RNA
Rfam family: Eukaryotic small subunit ribosomal RNA
Source: RNAcentral
CCCUUAGACGUUCUGGGCCGCACGCGCGCUACACUGACCGGUGCAACAAGCAUCCGUCCUUGGCCGACAGGCCCGGGCAAUCUUUGAACGCCGGUCGUGAUGGGGAUAGACUUUUGCAAUUUUUGGUCUUCAACGAGGAAUUCCUAGUAAACGCAAGUCAUCAACUUGCAUUGAUUACGUCCCUGCCCUUUGUACACACCGCCCGUCGCACCUACCGAUUGAAUGGUCCGGUGAAGCCUCCGGAUUGGCGCGCACCUCGGUGCCGCCGAGAAGUUGGCUAAACCUUACCAUCUAGAGGAAGGUGAAGUCGUAACA